Long non-coding RNA from Drosophila mauritiana, 1630 nucleotides. RefSeq lists it as uncharacterized. The record is from RefSeq and is a predicted model, not a curated record. The transcript is spliced from 3 exons. NCBI's taxonomy places the organism in Eukaryota, Metazoa, Arthropoda, Insecta, Diptera, Drosophilidae.
AUCCGGAAUAAUUACGGAACAACGGAACGCACACGAGGCGAAUUACACGAUCACGGGUCUUCUACUUGCUGCCUCCGUCCUAGCUUCUUCUAAUUCUUCUAGUUAGAAUCUUCUGCCGUCUGCCACCGGAACCGACGCCGGAGAGCAGAGCGAGACGGCCUGAGUUCCGGAGGGUCUAGUGGGGCAGAGUCCCCCAAUGGGUAGGCCGCAGGUGCGAGCGGGACGGCCCGAGACCCCCAGCUCUCGGGAGAGCGAGAGCAAUUCUCCACGCUCUCUCCUCCACUCUCACUCUCCGUUCUCUGCCGAUCUGCUGCCGCUGCUGACGUCUGCUCAAUUUUGAACGUUGAUCUUCGUCGCGUUUCAAAACUUUUGUUGCUUUCGUUCCGAUCUUUUCUACACUGUGUGCCUCUACACUGAGAGAAAAUCCUACGAAAUUGGAAAGCUUUGUGUGUAAUGAGUAAAAACUACCAAGAAUGUUUAACUUUGACUAUAUUUCUUAUGUUAUAAAUAAGUACAUGGCUGUGAUCCUACAUGUAUCCUAUUCCUUCCGAAAUGGAACUCCAGUGUUCUAUAACAGAUCAACUUGCAAUAAAGCGAAUGCAAUUAGUGCGGCUGCCGGACGUCUGAGGCCCGUCAAAAUGUGAAACUCCGCCGUGAAGUGCCAACACUCCUCGUUCGCCAUCUCAUAUGGUCGGUACUCCCCUUACUCCGCAUACCCCCUACUUUCCAUACUCCCCGUCAAAGACCCACGCACUCUUCUCGUCAAUGUGCGUGGAGCUAUUUUGGGUGGAUUUAACAAUAGCCCGAAAAAAGAGGCAGCCAAGGAUGAAGAUAGUGAUAUCUCCAGACUUGGAAAUACUUAAAAAGAAAAAAUUUUAAUGCUCGGCAAACGCAGCGACAUGAUGCGGACAAAUGCCUGAAUAUAGAUACAUCCAAUGGAUGUGUCUCUGAUGAGCAAAUGCAAUUAUGUGGCAUGGGAUCAGGGGCAGGGUGGAGUUGAGGGCGCUGGGAAAUGAAUAGAGCCACGAAAUAGAGCAGCAACUCCUUCGUAUUCCCCUCUCGACGGUCCUGUUCUGCAUCUGUGUGUUUGCAUGUGGAAAGCCCCACUGAUGACAGACAAGCCACGGCAGAGAAAGCCAAAGGAUAACAUGAGAUAACACACAUCAAAAGCCACUCAGACCCCACACACGUACAGCGGGGGUUAGGCAAAUAGGAUGGGUUUUGAAUAGUAUUAUUUACAAGGGAAAUAAGGAUAAUGAUAAAUAUGUCAAAUGAAACGAUCGUGGUUUAUUCAACAUUCUCAUUUUAGGAACUUGUUCUUGUGAUUCCAUUUUGAGAUACUUAUUAAGACACACUUCUAAUGAAUUUUAUUCGAGUAUGUUUUAGGACCUAUCUUUUUGGAGCACUCUGUGGAUGCACGCACAUGUGCUCCCCAUCACAGCUGCUCGUGAUCCUUUGGCGACGAGAAAUCAGCGCUCAAAUAUGAUUAAUAAGUAAUUUCUUUGUCAACAAGUGACUGGGGAUGGCCUGCUAUGACGACAGCGGCGAUAACGACAACGAGAAUGAGAACGGAACGACGCCAUGGAAAUCUUUAAUAAAAUACAUGCAUAAAUAAAUUAUAGGGCAAACA